Molecule: unclassified non-coding RNA, 179 nt
Filed under: uncultured Herpotrichiellaceae
Lineage: Eukaryota; Fungi; Ascomycota; Eurotiomycetes; Chaetothyriales; Herpotrichiellaceae
Description: sequence contains ITS1
Source: RNAcentral
CAGAGUUAGGGUCUUCUAGGCCCGAUCUCCAACCCUGUGUAUAAUUUACCAUGUUGCUUUGGCAGGCCCGUCUUUAACCGGACCGCCGGGAGUUCUUGGAGCUUCUGGCCCGUGCCUGUCAGGAGCCCCCCUAAAUUCUUGACAAAUUGUGAUGUCUGAGUAUAAAUACAAUAGUUAUA